This 468-nucleotide ribosomal RNA is filed under the name uncultured bacterium. RNAcentral's name for it is "partial 16S ribosomal RNA". It matches the Rfam family "Bacterial small subunit ribosomal RNA", at positions 28 to 507 of the family's 1533-position model. The record is from RNAcentral.
GACGAACGCUGGCGGCGUGCUUAACACAUGCAAGUCGAACGGAAAGGCCCUGCUUUUGUGGGGUGCUCGAGUGGCGAACGGGGGAGUAACACGUGAGUAACCUGCUCUUGACUUUGGGAUAACUUCAGGAAACUGGGGCUAAUACCGUAUAGGAGCUCCUGUUGCAUGGUGGGGGUUGGAAAGUUUCGGCGGUCGGGGAUGGACUCGCGGCUUAUCAGCUUGUUGGUGGGGUAGUGGAUUACCAAGGCAGGGACGGAUAGGCGGCAUGAGAGGGUGAACGGCGACAUGGGGACUGAGAUACGGCGCAGACUCCUACGGGAGGCAGCAGUGGGGAAUAUUGCACAACGGGCGGAAGCCUGAUGCAGCAACGCCGCGUGCGGGAUGACGGCCUUCGGGUUGUAAACCGCUUUCGCCUGUGACGAAGCGUGAGUGACGGUAAUGGAUGAAGAAGCACCGGCUAACUACGUG